This 761-nucleotide unclassified non-coding RNA is filed under the name Hevea brasiliensis (rubber tree). Lineage: Eukaryota; Viridiplantae; Streptophyta; Magnoliopsida; Malpighiales; Euphorbiaceae. The record is from RNAcentral.
UGAAGCUUCUCUUUCUCCAUGGGCCCAUAUGGAUUUUCUUCUCCUUCAUUGAUCUCUUGGCUGAGUCACAGAGAAUACCAACAAUGGCAUUUAGGUAGUCAGCUUUUCCUAUGUAAUAUUUUGGUAAUUGAGCUACAAGUUUCUUGUACUCUUCACAUGCCUUUGCUAUCUCAAAUUGUUCCUUGAAUUCCAAUUCUAUUAGGUAUGGGAUUUGCUUCUUGCGUCCACUUGUGCUCACAAUUACUUCAAUGUACUCAUGUUUCCCUCCUGGGAAUUUUUUAGUGUGAUUCCACUUGGAAGUGCAGAGAGAAGCAUUGAAACCUCUUUGGCAGAGGAAAUCAACAACCUUUCGCCUGAAACAGCUAGUGGGCUCAGCGCAUUUGCAGCACUCUCUCUCCUUUGCCUUCUCUAUUAUUCUGUUUAUCUCUUUCCUCCACUUUGACCCUGUUGUGCUAUGGCAUUCUAGAACUUCCUGAAGCAAAGCCUCUUGUGAUUCCCAGAAAAUGGUUCUUUCCAUGGAGUUUUGAUGAUCAUCAAUAAAGGAAUCAUGAUCAUCAUAAUGAUCAUGGCCAUCAAAAGAAGGAUUAGAAUGAUCAAAAUCUUCAUCAAGAAACACAGAUACUCUCUCUUCAAGGCUGUCCAUGCUUCUUCUUCUUCUGCUAUUGCCAUAAUCAAGAGCCUUCUCUUCAACAAGAUGAUUAUUAAUACCCAUCUCUCUCCCUCUCUCUCCUUUGAAUUAUUUCAAAUAAAGAAAGAUAGAG